AAAGAAUUAUUUUGGGGAGAUACAGGUUAGUUCAUUGGGAUGAUAGUCAUUUCUCUGUUGAGAUGAUGGCUUUGAUUCUCAUAUAUUAAUAUAUUAAUUCCAAUAGAAAUGUAACGUUGAAUGCAUAGAUUUAGGCAGCAUGGGGUGCUCUGGACCAAUGAUCUGAAACUGCUAAUAUUGACAAUCAGAUUCUACAAUUAUAAAGCUUGUAA
This 212-nucleotide unclassified non-coding RNA is filed under the name Hevea brasiliensis (rubber tree). The record is from RNAcentral. Lineage: Eukaryota; Viridiplantae; Streptophyta; Magnoliopsida; Malpighiales; Euphorbiaceae.